This 298-nucleotide unclassified non-coding RNA is filed under the name fungal sp. RNAcentral's name for it is "partial internal transcribed spacer region". The stretch from base 1 to 46 matches the Rfam family "Eukaryotic small subunit ribosomal RNA", at positions 1786 to 1831 of the family's 1831-position model. Lineage: Eukaryota; Fungi. The record is from RNAcentral.
AAGUCGUAACAAGGUUUCCGUAGGUGAACCUGCGGAAGGAUCAUUAAAAAUAACCGGGCCCGCAAGGGCCAGGGCAGCCCGGCUUCCCACCGCCCUCACCGGCGUUCGGGGACCGGACAGCCUUAAACCCCAUGUGAAAAACCCCUGUUGCUUCGGCAGCGCGUCCCCCCUCGCCGGGGGACGGUCAGCCUGCCGACGGCACCCAAGGAAACCCUUUGCCUGAAAGGAAGCCUGAUACAACGUCUGAGCGCGAAGUUUAAUGACUAUAAAACUUUCAACAACGGAUCUCUUGGUUCCC